Molecule: ribosomal RNA, 250 nt
Filed under: uncultured bacterium
Lineage: Bacteria
Description: partial 16S ribosomal RNA
Rfam family: Bacterial small subunit ribosomal RNA
Source: RNAcentral
UACGUGGGUGGCAAGCGUUGUCCGGAUUUAUUGGGUUUAAAGGGUGCGUAGGCGGUUUUGUAAGUCAGUGGUGAAAUACUCUAGCUUAACUAGAGGGGUGCCAAUGAUACUGCAGAACUUGAGUACAGAUGAGGUAGGCGGAAUUGACGGUGUAGCGGUGAAAUGCAUAGAUAUCGUCAAGAACACCUAUAGCGAAGGCAGCUUACUGGGCUGUAACUGACGCUGAGGCACGAAAGUGUGGGGAUCAAAC